AAUUCAAGUGGCCAGUGUAGACAGCUGGCAAGUUUGUAAACUUGCCGGUCUAGACACAGCCAAAGUGUAUCCCUGUUCACACCCCUAGUGGCAAAAAGGGGGCUAUAAAGCAGAUAGCGGGGGAGGGGAAGGAGGUUGCAGGGCUUCACCAGUUAGCUUUGCUCCCUACAAUUAAGAUUUAAGUGCCUUCCCAGCUUGCUAGGGUGACAGUGGCCAGCCUCAUGUGCCCGCCCUAAAAGCUUCUUACUCUCAGCAGACUGCAUCCUUGUGACCCAAGCAUCCAGUGUGGCCUGGGAUGGUUACUAGUCCUAAAUACUCCUUUAAAAAAAAAAAAAAAA
Pelodiscus sinensis (Chinese soft-shelled turtle) is the source of this 338-nucleotide non-coding RNA. The record is from RefSeq and is a predicted model, not a curated record. Lineage: Eukaryota; Metazoa; Chordata; Testudines; Trionychidae.